UGAACACUCACAUUUCACACAUAGAGUGCAAUACAUCAGCGCCAAAUUUGACUUGUCAAACUCGCAGUCAGCUACUUUUUUCCCUCCACUUUUUUUUUUCUUUUUUUUUUUUCCGGUGGGGGGAGGUAACCAUAGAAGUCCUAGUUAAUUUGGUGAAAACAUCAGGGCUACAAAGCUGAGUGACCUCCUCGGUCAACGUAACCUAGCCGUGACCUCUGACCGGUGCAAUUCACCAUGCGUCUCCAGUCCAGCGACCAGCAGCAACUCCCCCACGAUCACUGGAAAUGUCACUGAGGUGG
RNAcentral lists this long non-coding RNA (299 nucleotides) under Astyanax mexicanus (Mexican tetra). RNAcentral describes it as "lncRNA (ENSAMXG00005009846.1)". The record is from RNAcentral. Lineage: Eukaryota; Metazoa; Chordata; Actinopteri; Characiformes; Acestrorhamphidae.